GGUGGUUCAGUGGUAGAGCGUUUGCCUCGCAUGCAUGAGGCCCUGGGUUCGAUUCCUCAGCACCA
RNAcentral lists this transfer RNA (65 nucleotides) under Dipodomys ordii (Ord's kangaroo rat). It matches the Rfam family "tRNA". From Rfam's summary of the family: Transfer RNA (tRNA) molecules are approximately 80 nucleotides in length. Their secondary structure includes four short double-helical elements and three loops (D, anti-codon, and T loops). Further hydrogen bonds mediate the characteristic L-shaped molecular structure. tRNAs have two regions of fundamental functional importance: the anti-codon, which is responsible for specific mRNA codon recognition, and the 3' end, to which the tRNAs corresponding amino acid is attached (by aminoacyl-tRNA synthetases). tRNAs cope with the degeneracy of the genetic code in two manners: having more than one tRNA (with a specific anti-codon) for a particular amino acid; and 'wobble' base-pairing, i.e. permitting non-standard base-pairing at the 3rd anti-codon position. Lineage: Eukaryota; Metazoa; Chordata; Mammalia; Rodentia; Heteromyidae. The record is from Rfam by way of RNAcentral.